RNAcentral lists this long non-coding RNA (694 nucleotides) under Helianthus annuus (common sunflower). Its description in RNAcentral is "sRNA HanXRQr2_Chr07g0285341". Lineage: Eukaryota; Viridiplantae; Streptophyta; Magnoliopsida; Asterales; Asteraceae. The record is from RNAcentral.
UUUACGAAAGGCAAAAGAAUAAAUGAAUAGAGUGUAGGGUUUUGACAGGAACUCAAGUCUUCUUCGCCGUUCAUCCCAAUCGCCCCUCAUUCAAAUAUUUCUUUUAUCCAAUAACAACCGACCCAUAUUAUUCAUCACCUAUCCUUACCCUUUUACACCUUCGUCCCUGCACACGAUCCAGAAUCCCUUCGCCUAAAAAAAAAGGUCGAGCUAUGCGCCGCCGCAAACCAGCCUCACCACACCUUCCGAUUUAAACAUCCGCCGCCAUUGAAGGUUGUGUCUGGUUCUUUCGUUUUGCCUCCGUGCGACCCAACUCGGUCCUUGACUAGCCGCCGCCGCAACACCUCGUCACUGUUGUUUUAGUUUCUGCACCAUAAACCAGCCACCUCAGUCGCUCUGGGCUAGAUCAAGAUCUUAUACCAGCAUCGCCUCUUGAUCUAUUCUGCUUAUUCCAACUUGUAGAGGUUCUUGUACUAUUUGUGGGCGACUUGAUUUCUGUGUUGCUUUGCUCUGCUAUAUCUAAGUAUGUAUUGGGUAAAGUAAUAUGGGAUGAUCUGGGAUUUCAGUGAGGAGCGUUAGGAAGUUGCUGACCAAGAUUAUUUAUUUUAGUAAUGUAAUAAAUGUAAUUAGGACCUUUUAUUUAAUGUUAUGGAUUGGUUUUUAGUUUUGAUAUCUGUAAGAGUGACACGUCAGC